Molecule: ribosomal RNA, 489 nt
Filed under: uncultured bacterium
Lineage: Bacteria
Description: partial 16S ribosomal RNA
Rfam family: Bacterial small subunit ribosomal RNA
Source: RNAcentral
AUUGAACGCUGGCGGCAGGCCUAACACAUGCAAGUCGAACGGUAACAGAAAGCAGCUUGCUGCUUUGCUGACGAGUGGCGGACGGGUGAGUAAUGUCUGGGAAACUGCCUGAUGGAGGGGGAUAACUACUGGAAACGGUAGCUAAUACCGCAUAACGUCGCAAGACCAAAGAGGGGACCUUCGGGCCUCUUGCCAUCGGAUGUGCCCAGAUGGGAUUAGCUAGUAGGUGGGGUAACGGCUCACCUAGGCGACGAUCCCUAGCUGGUCUGAGAGGAUGACCAGCCACACUGGAACUGAGACACGGUCCAGACUCCUACGGGAGGCAGCAGUGGGGAAUAUUGCACAAUGGGCGCAAGCCUGAUGCAGCCAUGCCGCGUGUAUGAAGAAGGCCUUCGGGUUGUAAAGUACUUUCAGCGGGGAGGAAGGGAGUAAAGUUAAUACCUUUGCUCAUUGACGUUACCCGCAGAAGAAGCACCGGCUAACUCCGUG